This 2391-nucleotide unclassified non-coding RNA is filed under the name Orussus abietinus. RNAcentral describes it as "U3 small nucleolar RNA-associated protein 4 homolog, transcript variant X2". Lineage: Eukaryota; Metazoa; Arthropoda; Insecta; Hymenoptera; Orussidae. The record is from RNAcentral.
CACGUGCUUGUUAUCGUGGUUAGGUUGUAAUCUCAAGCGAAGUUUAAUUUGUGAAAUUUAAUAGAUAUGUCUUAACGCCAAUCAUGUCUACAUGUAAGAUUCAUAAUGUGAGAUUUUAUAAUUUGGAACCAAGAGCGGCAACUUGCUUAACCUAUGAACGCCGACAUAAAAAACUGGCACUUUCGAGAAACGACAAUUCGAUCGAAAUAUGGAACGUGGCAAAUGCUCCGUUUUUGGAAAACACCAUACCUGGACAUCCAGAAGGAUGCGUCGAAACCGUUCUAUGGGUUGGAUCCAGACUAUUUUCGACUGGGUUAAGCGGUAUGAUUAUGGAAUAUGACUUAACGCAAUUGGGUAUUAAAGCCGAGACUGCGGUGACAGGAGGAGCGGCUUGGUGCAUGAGUGUAAAUAGAGAAAAUACUCGUUUAGCCAUUGGUACGGAGGAUGGUUAUAUAAACACCUUUACUGUUACAAAUGAUUCCUUACUUUACGAGAGGAUCUUUGAUAAACAGAAAGGAAGAAUAUUAUGUAUCGAAUGGGACAAUACCGGUGAAAUGAUUUUCACUGGUUCUACCGACACUGUAAGAGUAUGGAAUGCAAUUACCGGUCAUGCAAUUCAUAAGAUGAUCACGUCUAGAAAAGAAGGAAAGAAAGAGACAAUAAUCUGGUGCUUGGCGGUGACCGAUGACAACCUCAUAGUUUCGGGAGAUUCCCGGGGUAUUUUGUCAUUUUGGGAUCCCCAUAUGGGAACUUUAAUCGAAGCCCAUGAAAGUCAUUCCGCGGAUAUACUUGCUAUUGCAAUGUCUCGCGAAACUAAUAUGGUGUAUUGCGCUGGCGUGGAUCCAGUAGUGCGAACUUUUUCUAGGGUACUUCUUAAAUCCACAGGAAAGGCACAUUGGGUAAAAGGAAUCGAAAGGAGACUUCAUACUCAUGACGUUAGAGCUUUAGUGGAAGCUAAUGGAAAGUUGUACUCUGCUGGAGUAGAUGGGUAUUUGGCUCAGUCGAGCUACCCUCCAAAAAUGCUUGUGAAAUAUCCCCCAUUAUUACAACCACCGUGUGUGACCGUUUGUAAAAAGUCGAGGUGCAUUUUGUUGAGAUAUACAAACUAUUUAGAAUUAUGGAAAUUGGCGUCUACAAGUAAAACGUCACAGAACUCCUCCCAUGUUCAAACGACGCAUUGGCUCGGAGAAGAGCCAAUAAAAUUGCUUCAACUAAAAACGAAAGGUGACGAGCCUAUAAUUUCCUGUGCAAUUAAUAAAGACUCUAAAACAAUCGUGUACUCAACCGACACUCAUGUUAGAGUUUUCAAUUUUGACGUAAUCGAUGGUGACGCUCAAUUGGCUAGGAAUGACAUCGACUUAACUUUGCCCAGGGUGCAGAAAAUGUUGUUCAGCCCAAACGGAAAGCUCUUUGUGGCCAUUAAUAACGAUGGAAAUGGGAACACGAUAGUUUUCUUCCGAGUUGAGAAGAAACUUCUCUGGCUAGCAGGCUCCGUUCGUACUCCAAAAGAUUCCAUGGAUAAUAUCGGCUUGAUGUGUUUUUCACCCGACAGUGGCUACUUACUCUGUGCCGACCAACGAAGUCGUAUCGUUGUAUAUAAAAUUGACAGAGAACUUUCCACAGAAUCUAUCCAAUCGUGGUAUUUACCAAAAUACAACUGUGCACCAACUGCGAUAGCUGUCCAAAAGAGCACCCUGAACUUGGUCAUCGUUUACUCCGAUCACAAGAUCCUCGAGUAUAACAUCCCGAAGAGGCAGUUCACCGAAUUUUCCAACAACCUCGAGAGUCGUUUACCGCAUCAGUGGCUCGCUCGGCCAUUUCCAGUCACCAAUGUUACUUUCGAUCCGAACAACGAGAACGUAAUUAUUUUACACGAUGACACAACCGUUUACGUCAUUGACAAGAACAAAAGUCUUCCGAGGAACGAAGCUAAAAUCCCGAAGCUCGAAAACGGCGAAUCUACGGAAGAUAGCAGUUCGGGUUCUUAUUCCCAGUCCCAGCACGCUUUUCAUAUGGCGAAGAAGUACAAGCACCUGGUGCACCUGGCGUGGCUGAACGACAGCGAAAUGGUGGCGGUGGAAGUGGAUCCUACUUCUUUAAUCGAAAAAUUACCUCCGACGCUCAAGCAAAAGUAUUAUGGCAUGUAAUUCAUGAAGGACUCCUGAUGAAGAUGAUAGUUCCGACAAACCAUGUUCCUUUGUCUGCAGUUUAAUGGAUAAGAUUCCCCCGUACCUUGCAUAUCUACCGAGGAAACAGAGGUCAUACUCGCGUCCGUUGAUCCGGAAUUUCCUCCGUGGUGUCUUCUUCUGGACGGGUUUCUUCCACCUUUACUUCCUCUUCGCCGACGCAGUAGACGCUCCUCCUUCCCUCUGCCAGGUGGAGGUCGCGACG